GGCAUGGGAUACCUUAGUAACGGCGAGUGAAGCGGUAAAAGCUCAAAUUUGAAAUCUGGUACUUUCAGUGCCCGAGUUGUAAUUUGUAGAAUUUGUCUUUGAUUAGGUCCUUGUCUAUGUUCCUUGGAACAGGACGUCAUAGAGGGUGAGAAUCCCGUUUGGCGAGGAUACCUUUUCUCUGUAAGACUUUUUCGAAGAGUCGAGUUGUUUGGGAAUGCAGCUCAAAGUGGGUGGUAAAUUCCAUCUAAAGCUAAAUAUUGGCGAGAGACCGAUAGCGAACAAGUACAGUGAUGGAAAGAUGAAAAGAACUUUGAAAAGAGAGUGAAAAAGUACGUGAAAUUGUUGAAAGGGAAGGGCAUUUGAUCAGACAUGGUGUUUUUUGCAUGCACUCGCCUCUCGUGGGCUUGGGCCUCUCAAAAAUUUCACUGGGCCAACAUCAAUUCUGGCAGCAGGAUAAAUCAUUAAGAAUGUAGCUACUUCGGUAGUGUUAUAGCUUUUUGGAAUACUGUUAGCCGGGAUUGAGGACUGCGCUUCGGCAAGGAUGUUGGCAUAAUGGUUAAAUGCCGCCCGUCUUGAAAAACGGACCAAAA
Molecule: ribosomal RNA, 590 nt
Filed under: Naganishia albida
Lineage: Eukaryota; Fungi; Basidiomycota; Tremellomycetes; Filobasidiales; Filobasidiaceae
Description: partial large subunit ribosomal RNA
Rfam family: Eukaryotic large subunit ribosomal RNA
Source: RNAcentral